UUUCCGUAGGUGAACCUACGGAAGGAUCAUUGUCAUGACCCAGACCAAAACAGACCGCGCACGCGUCAUCCAAUCCGCCGAUGAUGGCCCCGUCCGUCGCUCGGCCAAGUCCUUGACCGCCCCCUCCUCGGAGUGGGGGCUCGGGGUAAAAGAACCCACGGCGCCGAAGGCAUCAAGGAACACUGUGCCUAACCCGGGGGCAUGGCUAGCUUGCUAGUCGUCCCCCGUGUUGCAAAGCUAUUUAAUCCACACGACUCUCGGCAACGGAUAUCUCGGCUCUC
RNAcentral lists this unclassified non-coding RNA (281 nucleotides) under root metagenome. RNAcentral describes it as "partial contains small subunit ribosomal RNA, internal transcribed spacer 1, and 5.8S ribosomal RNA". The record is from RNAcentral.